RNAcentral lists this ribosomal RNA (253 nucleotides) under uncultured bacterium. RNAcentral's name for it is "partial 16S ribosomal RNA". It matches the Rfam family "Bacterial small subunit ribosomal RNA", at positions 524 to 776 of the family's 1533-position model. The record is from RNAcentral.
UACGUAGGGGGCAAGCGUUGUCCGGAUUUAUUGGGCGUAAAGAGCGUGUAGGCGGCUAGAUAGGUCCGUUGUGAAAACUCGAGGCUCAACCUCGAGACGUCGAUGGAAACCAUCUGGCUAGAGUCCGGAAGAGGAGAGUGGAAUUCCUGGUGUAGCGGUGAAAUGCGCAGAUAUCGGGAGGAACACCAGUGGCGAAGGCGACUUCUUGGCCUGUUCUUGACGCUGAGGCGCGAAAGCUGGGGGAGCAAACGGG